This 23-nucleotide non-coding RNA is filed under the name Arabidopsis thaliana (thale cress). The record is from RNAcentral. Lineage: Eukaryota; Viridiplantae; Streptophyta; Magnoliopsida; Brassicales; Brassicaceae.
UGUGAACAUGUGAACUAGAAUUC